UUUUCCCACUGCACAAUUUCGUUCUUUAUAACUCCUUUUCUUUUGUUUAAAGAAUUUGGGGGCGAGCAAGGACAAGAAUCCCUCGAGAAAUCAAGCAUAUGUUUGCUGAAAUGUGGGCCCACCGGUUCAGAGACCUUAAAAAUUUAGUUCUUGGUGGAGUUGGAAGCAUUACUGUUGUUGAUGGCUCCAAAGUUGAGCCCGGGCACCUCGGAAAUAACUUAAUGGGUACAAAUUUUAAUACUCUUUUUCUUUGCUAGCCCUAAUUUUCAUUGCUUUUAUAACUUUUAUGUGAGUCUCUUCUUUGUUCACAUGAAUUUUGGGCAGUCAAAGGCGAAAACCGUUUGCUCAUUUCUGCAGGAGUUGAAUGGUGCAGUGAAGGCUAAGUUUAUUGAAGAGUAUCCUGAGAAGUUGAUUAUCCAAUCCAUCCUUCUUUUCACAAUUUACCUUGGUUGUUGCCACACAGGAAUUCAUAGCUAAUGAAGGAGGCGGAGAGGAGCCUCUGGAGGGAGCUAUUCCGGAUAUGACAUCUUCAACUGAGUUGUGUGUCUCCCUGCAGAAGAUCUAUCUGUGUGUCUCCCUGCAGAAGAUCUAUCAGGCUAAGGCCGAGGCUGAUUUUCUUGUCAUGGAGAAGCUCGUCAAGAAAAAUACUGAUGAAGCUCGGUUUAGAUCCAGAAAGCAUCUCGAAAGCAGCCAUAAAAUGUUUUUGCAAAAAUGCUAGGAAGCUUAAGGUAUGCAGAUAAAGCAAGAUUGAGGAGGAGUUCAAUUCGACGGUUCAGUUGGAGCUACAGAAGUAUCUUAGAGACGAAGACUACUGGUAGAUCCGAGGUGCGAUUUUUUGGCGCUUGAGUCGUCCACGAGCUCGUGAAUAGAUAGAGGCUGCCAUCAUUGUUAUCUAUGAGGGCAUCAACAACCUAUAACCAUGCUCACUUCACUCAUAUUAUUCAUAGAUUUGGCAAUUAUUUUUAAGCACUUCACUUAACAUUUACAACCCAUUAUCACUAAGAAGCACUUCACUUGGUAUUCGUA
Long non-coding RNA from Salvia splendens (bonfire salvia), 1026 nucleotides. RefSeq lists it as uncharacterized. Lineage: Eukaryota; Viridiplantae; Streptophyta; Magnoliopsida; Lamiales; Lamiaceae. The transcript is spliced from 4 exons. The record is from RefSeq and is a predicted model, not a curated record.